This 257-nucleotide non-coding RNA is filed under the name Prasinococcus capsulatus. The record is from RNAcentral. Lineage: Eukaryota; Viridiplantae; Prasinodermophyta; Palmophyllophyceae; Prasinococcales; Prasinococcaceae.
CGCUAUCGCAGGUCCUGGACGGGGCAUCUUAAUCGACGGGUGGAAUGCCUUGAGGAGAAAGUCUCCGAAUAUGAACACACUCGUUAGCCUGGGUGCAUGUGCCUCGUUUGGAGUCAGUACAGCAGCUGUGCUGUUGCCGCACUUGGGCUGGAGGAGUUUCUUCGAGGAGCCCGUCAUGCUGUUGGCGUUUGUUUUGCUUGGAAAGUCAAUCGAAGAGAGAGCCAAACUCCAGGCAUCCAGUGACCUCACGGAGCUAA